UAGGACGUCGGUUCUAUUUUGUUGGUUUCUAGAGUCGCCGUAAUGAUUAAUAGGGAUAGUUGGGGGCAUUGGUAUUGAGUCGCUAGAGGUGAAAUUCUUGGAUUGACUCAAGACC
RNAcentral lists this ribosomal RNA (115 nucleotides) under uncultured eukaryote. RNAcentral's name for it is "partial 18S small subunit ribosomal RNA". It matches the Rfam family "Eukaryotic small subunit ribosomal RNA", at positions 823 to 937 of the family's 1831-position model. The record is from RNAcentral.